CAGCCGCCGCGGUAAAACCAGCACCUCAAGUGGUCAGGAUGAUUAUUGGGCCUAAAGCAUCCGUAGCUCGUUUUGUAAGUUUUCGGUUAAAUCCAUGCGCUUAACGUAUGGGCUGCCGGGAAUACUGCAUAACUAGGAAGUGGGAGAGGUAGACGGUACUCGGGAGGAAGGGGUAAAAUCCUUUGAUCUCUUGAUGACCACCUGUGGCGAAGGCGGUCUACCAGAACACGUUCGACGGUGAGGGAUGAAAGCUGGGGGAGCAAACCGGAUUAGAUACCCGGGUAGUCCCAGCUGUAAACUAUGCAAACUCAGUGAUGCAUUGGCUUAUGGCCAAUGCAGUGCUGCAGGGAAGCCGUUAAGUUUGCCGCCUGGGAAGUACGUACGCAAGUAUGAAACUUAAAGGAAUUGGCGGGGGGAGCACCA
RNAcentral lists this ribosomal RNA (423 nucleotides) under uncultured archaeon. Its description in RNAcentral is "bacterial SSU rRNA". It matches the Rfam family "Archaeal small subunit ribosomal RNA", at positions 459 to 881 of the family's 1478-position model. The record is from RNAcentral.